Molecule: unclassified non-coding RNA, 3293 nt
Filed under: Hevea brasiliensis (rubber tree)
Lineage: Eukaryota; Viridiplantae; Streptophyta; Magnoliopsida; Malpighiales; Euphorbiaceae
Source: RNAcentral
UUGGUUUUAACGAGAGAGCGGCAGCUGCAGCGCCUGGAUUGCCUGCUGACUCCACACCCAUAUGAGCUCUCUACGCAGGGUUUCAAAAACCCUAAAAUCAACAAAAUGUCUCUCUCAGCUACUACCAUAUUCAAAAUUCACUCCAUUUCCUUCUAUAUUCAGAUUAAACGACCAUCGUUUGGAGCUAACGCGUGCGUGUUGCUCUAAUUCGCGCCAAAAUAGCAAAGAGAACAGCAUAGAUUUGAGCCAGUUUCCGGCGGAGAGAAUCAGAAACUUCUCGAUAAUCGCUCACGUCGACCAUGGCAAGUCAACGCUCGCUGACCGGCUUUUGGAGCUCACUGCAACGAUCAAGAGAGGCCAUGGCCAGCCACAGUACCUGGAUAAGUUGCAGGUAGAGAGAGAAAGGGGAAUAACUGUUAAAGCUCAGACAGCUACCAUGUUCCACAAGUACAACUUCCAUGGCCCCAAUGUUGCUGAUGCACAUGAUCCACCAACAUUUCUACUAAACCUAAUUGAUACACCUGGUCAUGUUGAUUUCAGCUAUGAAGUAUCAAGAUCCUUAGCAGCUUGCCAAGGUGCCCUUUUGGUUGUUGAUGCUGCCCAAGGUGUUCAGGCACAAACUGUAGCUAACUUCUAUUUGGCUUUUGAAUCAAACCUGACAAUAAUACCCAUCAUAAACAAAAUAGAUCAGCCAACUGCAGAUCCUGAUCGGGUCACAGCUCAACUAAAAUCAAUGUUUGAUCUUGAACCUAAUGAUUGCCUUUUAACAUCUGCCAAAACAGGGCAGGGCCUUGAGCAAGUCCUUCCUGCAGUCAUAGAACGGAUACCUCCUCCUCCUGGGAAUAGUGAUUCACCUCUGCGUAUGCUUUUGCUGGAUUCCUAUUAUGAUGAAUACAGGGGAGUGAUCUGUCAUGUUGCAGUUGUGGAUGGCAUGCUGCGGAAGGGAGAUAAGAUCUCAUCUGCAGCAACUGGCAAUGCAUAUGAAAUUCUGGAUGUUGGGAUCAUGCAUCCUGAACUCACCCCAACUGGAGUUCUUCUAACUGGACAAGUGGGAUAUGUGGUGAGCGGCAUGAGAUCCACUAAAGAAGCACGUGUUGGAGACACUCUAUAUCAUAGCCGACAUGUUGUAGAACCUCUACCAGGUUUUAAGCCUGCAAAACAUAUGGUAUUCUCUGGUCUUUACCCAGCUGAUGGAUCUGAUUUUGAAGCACUUAACCAUGCAAUAGAGAGACUGACAUGCAAUGAUGCAAGCGUCUCUGUUACUAAAGAGAGUAGUUCUGCACUUGGUCUGGGUUUCAGGUGCGGUUUCUUAGGGUUACUCCACAUGGAUGUUUUUCAUCAGCGGCUUGAACAGGAAUAUGGAGCUCAUGUCAUUUCUACUAUUCCAACUGUUCCAUAUAUUUUUGAGUAUUCGGAUGGAAGCAAAGUACAAGUUCAGAAUCCUGCUGCAUUACCCUCAAAUCCCAAGCAACGAGUUACGGCUAGUUGGGAACCUACUGUCAUAGCUACAAUUAUCAUCCCUAGUGAGUAUGUGGGGCCUGUUAUUACCCUUUGCUCUGAGCGGAGAGGACAGCAAUUGGAGUAUUCGUUCAUCGAUAGCCAACGAGCCUUUAUGAAGUAUCGCCUACCUUUGAAGGAAAUUGUUGUUGAUUUUUACAAUGAAUUGAAGAGUAUAACGUCAGGAUAUGCAUCAUUUGACUAUGAGGAUUCAGAUUAUCAAGAAGCUGAUUUGGUAAAACUUGAUAUCCUCCUAAAUGGACUACCAGUUGAUGCUAUGGCAACCAUUGUUCAUAAGUUGAAGGCACAACGUGUUGGUCGUGAGCUGGUAGAGAAGCUGAAGAAGUUCAUUGAUAGGCAAAUGUUUGAGAUAACGAUACAAGCUGCAAUUGGAUCAAAGGUUAUUGCAAGGGAAACGAUUUCGGCUAUGAGAAAGAAUGUUCUUGCAAAGUGUUAUGGUGGAGAUGUUACUCGGAAAAGGAAGCUUUUGGAAAAACAGAAGGAAGGCAAGAAGCGAAUGAAGCGUAUUGGUUCUGUUGAUAUACCACAGGAGGCUUUCCAUCAAUUGUUGAAAGUUCAAUAGAGAAAUAUGUCAAAUGAUUGGCCAUAUUUAUGAUGGUGAUGGUAAGUUCAUAAUUGUAGUAUCCAAAAAAUAAAACCUGCAGUGUUCUCUGGAUCAUAUGAUAGAGAGAAGCCUUAGCUUUUGCUCAGCACUAUGCUGCUUGCUGCAAAUUAUUUUUGUUAUUUUUUUUUGUCCAACUAUGAGAGAGGGGGAGUCCCAGAUUUUCAGACCAAAAAGUUAUUAAGGUGAUGCCACACUGUUUGGAAACUAGGAAAAACAAAAGGCAUAUGAAACACAAUAAUUCUGCUCUGGUCUUGCAAGGGAUUCUUUAUAGAGAAACUUUUGAGUAUUGUUUUGUAGGCAGGCUUUUCAAUUUUUCUAGCAGAACUGACCAUUAUUUUCCUGGUAAAUACUGGAUUUACCCCAUCAAUUGUGCACAAUGUAUUUUAAAUGUCUAGUUAGUAAGGUUAAGCCAAAGGUAUUAUCGUUCUGUGACUCCUUGUUUUGAAUUCAGCUUAUUUAUUUAUUUGAAGCAUUUCUAGAUACGAACAACUUUAGAAUGGCAACAAAUUUGUACCCGGAAAGUCUUGCACUUGGUUUAAUGAUCUCAACCCUUCGUUCACAAGAGGCAGACGCUGGAGUCUGAUUGGAGAAAAGGCUUUGUAACUUCAGCUUGAUAAGGAAGUAAUCUGUACUACGCCCCUGCGAGCCCUAGCUCUAGAUCACAGGGAAUGGGCAGAGGUGAAAUUUUCAUCAUCUUUUGCAGACGCUUUGAAUUUGUGCGAUGAAUUUCAAACUGUGAACCAUCAAUAUCUGACAAGGUCAUUAAAUCAGGGGUCUGUGCGAGAGAAUCUUCUGGAAGCAUACCGCAACCCUUCCUUGCUCCAAAACAAAAUAAAGUUGUGAUUUGCAAUUGUCUAUAUUUCUAUUAUGAAAAGGUAAUGAUUCUUGCUCUGUUUCGUGGUUUAUCGCAUUCUGGUCUACUACAAGCAGAAGGUGUGCAUAUACUGGCCACUGGCUUGUUUGAAUUGUGAAGUGGAUUCAGACUGGCCCAGGUCAAAUCUGCGACUGGACUGGGUCAAUCUUUCCAGUUCGUGAACCAACCCAGAACCAGGUUGUAAGAGGGCCAGUUCCCAUCCCCUCCUGGAACCUGAAUCAAAACCAGCCUAGAAUUGGUCCUAUUUAAAAAUUGUUUAUUUUUUUUAAUAUAUAUUGAAUUUAUAUUUGAGUAAAA